Molecule: long non-coding RNA, 674 nt
Filed under: Sus scrofa (pig)
Lineage: Eukaryota; Metazoa; Chordata; Mammalia; Artiodactyla; Suidae
Description: lncRNA (ENSSSCG00025049548.1)
Source: RNAcentral
AAAAAAAAAAAAAAAAAAAAAAAAAAAAAGUAUUCCUGGAACAAGCUGCAGCAAAUGGACCAGUGCUGAAUGAAAUAUGACUGUGACCUUAAAAACAUUCUGGCUUGACACCCAAGGGACACCAGCAGUCCUCACCAGAUAUGAACUCUGACCACUUCUGGGAACCUUGACCUCCUGCCCUCCCUCCCCCAGUCCUUGUCUGAGGGGGUCACCACAUACAGGGCGCGUAGCCUCGUACAAGGGCUCUGCAGAGUGCCGCGGCCGGACACGUCCCACCAACCCAAUUAGGCCCCUCUUGAAAAGCUGGAGGAUGGGACCGAUCGAGAGAAGCCAUCAGAAAAGAGGGACUUCAGAAGCUGCGGACACUAAUACCAAUACCCAGCAGGAGCUGCGAGGCUGGAGGACGGCAGGACGGCAGCGAUGGGAAGACAAAAGGCAGACGGAAAUUGCUGUCACAAGGGUGGACGAGGCAAUCCAGAAUUGGAGUCACUGGAUCAAAGGGAAUUAGGAAAUCUGCUUUUCAAUAAUCCAAGGAUCAAAUAAGAAAUUACAAUGGAAAUGAGAAUAUAUUUUGAAUACUAAAAACAUGUCAAAGUUCAUGGGUUGCAGUUAAAGCCUUGUUUUAGAAGGAAAUUUAUCACUUAAGAAGUUAAUAAAGACUGAAAAUCAAUUCA